AUUUUAAAUGGCCGCGGUAUAUUGACCGUGCAAAGGUAGCAUAAUCAUUAGUUUUUUAAUUGAUAACUUGUAUGAAUGGUUUAACGAGACAUUGACUGUCUCUUUUAUAUAUUAGAAUUUAAAUUUUGAGUUAAAAUGCUUAAAUUUUCUUAUUGGACGAGAAGACCCUAUAGAUCUUUAUUAUUAUUUAUUAUAUUUUGUUUGGUUUAUUUUUUUAUAUUUUUUUAUUAAUUUUGUUGGGGUGACUUGAAGAUAUAUAUAACUCUUUAUUUUAUUAUACAUUUAUUUAUGUAUAUUUGACUUUAUUUUAUUGUUAUAAGAAUUAGAUACCUUAGGGAUAACAGCGUAAUUUUUUUUAAGAGUUCAUAUUGACAAUGAAGAUUGCGACCUCGAUGUUGGAUUAAGAUUAGAUCUAGGUGCAGUAGCUUAUGAUUAUUGGUCUGUUCGACCUUUAAAUUCUUACAUGAUCUGAGU
Molecule: ribosomal RNA, 474 nt
Filed under: Periphetes forcipatus
Lineage: Eukaryota; Metazoa; Arthropoda; Insecta; Phasmatodea; Lonchodidae
Description: partial large subunit ribosomal RNA
Rfam family: Bacterial large subunit ribosomal RNA
Source: RNAcentral